AAAUUGAAGAGUUUGAUCAUGGCUCAGAUUGAACGCUGGCGGCAGGCCUAACACAUGCAAGUCGAACGGUAACAGGAAGCAGCUUGCUGCUUUGCUGACGAGUGGCGGACGGGUGAGUAAUGUCUGGGAAACUGCCUGAUGGAGGGGGAUAACUACUGGAAACGGUGGCUAAUACCGCAUAACGUCGCAAGACCAAAGAGGGGGACCUUCGGGCCUCUUGCCAUCAGAUGUGCCCAGAUGGGAUUAGCUAGUUGGUGAGGUAACGGCUCACCAAGGCGACGAUCCCUAG
This 289-nucleotide ribosomal RNA is filed under the name Salmonella enterica. RNAcentral's name for it is "partial 16S ribosomal RNA". It matches the Rfam family "Bacterial small subunit ribosomal RNA", at positions 1 to 286 of the family's 1533-position model. The record is from RNAcentral. Lineage: Bacteria; Pseudomonadati; Pseudomonadota; Gammaproteobacteria; Enterobacterales; Enterobacteriaceae.